This 402-nucleotide ribosomal RNA is filed under the name uncultured bacterium. Its description in RNAcentral is "bacterial SSU rRNA". It matches the Rfam family "Bacterial small subunit ribosomal RNA", at positions 355 to 773 of the family's 1533-position model. The record is from RNAcentral.
UAGGGAAUUUUCCACAAUGGGCGAAAGCCUGAUGGAGCAACGCCGCGUGCAGGAUGAAUGUCUUCGGAUUGUAAACUGCUUUUAUAUGUGACGAUUAUGACGGUAGCAUAUGAAUAAGGAUCGGCUAACUCCGUGCCAGCAGCCGCGGUCAUACGGAGGAUCCAAGCGUUAUCCGGAAUUACUGGGCGUAAAGAGUUGCGUAGGUGGCAUUGUAAGUUGGUAGUGAAAGCGUUCGGCUCAACCGGAUAUCCAUUACUAAAACUGCAAAGCUAGAGGACAAGAGAGGUCACUGGAAUUCCCUGUGUAGGAGUGAAAUCCGUAGAUAUAGGGAGGAACACCGAUGGCGUAGGCAGGUGACUGGCUUGUUCCUGACACUAAGGCACGAAAGCGUGGGUAGCAAAC